CCUUCCUUGACCUCUACCGCUAUGACCCAUGGGAGCUCUAGUGAUCCAUCCACCGGCGAUAUUGACAAGCUUUCAACAUCCAAUAUACAUGUGGAUCUAAGAAGUUUAUAAGUCACCUGGUUAUGGCCUAUGUAUUUACAUUUUGGACCUGCUAUGUACUUAUGAAGGAAUAUGAAAACGUCACAACCAUGAGGUUGUGCUUUCUUGUUUCAGAGAAACUACAACCAGAUCAGUUACCGGAUUCAUCUGGUAUAACGACAGUUUGGCGACGCUAUUGGCACAAGUGCUGAAUGCUGAUCUUCUUAUCAUGCUUAGUGAUGUGGAGGGACACUAUAGUGGUCCACCGAGUGAUCCUCAAUCAAAAGUCAUCCACACGUGCAUUACUGAAAAAUCUCAUGUAGGAAGAGAUGGAAUGCAAACUAAAGUGGCAUCUGCUGUUACUGCUGCAUCAAAGGGCGUACCCGCUGUAAUUGUGAGGUGACUACAAUUUUUUUUUCUUGGUGUUAGAGCAUGAAAUUUUAUAUGCAUACCUACUAAGUAUUCCCAUUAGGUUAAGAUACUGCAAGCUACUAUAUGGUCAGUCAAACUGGCAGCUACCAUAUUUGUGCAAUUUAGGAACGCAGGGAGUACUAAUUAAACUAUUGUUGCUAUAAUUGGAUAUUCAAAAGUGCUCGAGUAAGACAAUUGGUAAUUAGUUAUGGAGAUUGGAGUUUUAAUGCAAGGGUUUAACAUUAGAUAAUCAUCUGCAAUGUUUGUGUUGAUAUAUAGUUUGAAUAACUUUCUUAAUUCUUAAGUACUCCUAUCAAACUACGCAUCUUCAAAGUGGCUGGUGCC
This is a long non-coding RNA of Brachypodium distachyon (stiff brome), 834 nucleotides long. RefSeq lists it as uncharacterized. NCBI's taxonomy places the organism in Eukaryota, Viridiplantae, Streptophyta, Magnoliopsida, Poales, Poaceae. The transcript has 4 exons. The record is from RefSeq and is a predicted model, not a curated record.